Synchiropus splendidus (mandarinfish) is the source of this 8720-nucleotide RNA transcript. It is a transcript of the gene named ATPase phospholipid transporting 11C, with no coding region annotated. The transcript is spliced from 30 exons. The record is from RefSeq and is a predicted model, not a curated record. NCBI's taxonomy places the organism in Eukaryota, Metazoa, Chordata, Actinopteri, Syngnathiformes, Callionymidae.
AAGGUUACGGGACCAUAAACAUGUUAAAAGAUAACCUGAACUACACAGCAUAGGGUCAAGGGAUUUCUGUGUUUAAUGACCUCGUACUUUGUUACAUAUACUAUGAUAUAAAAGGCAUAACAUAAUACAUUUGGCUCCUCAAUAUAAAGACAUAGUAAAAUGUCAGUGCAGUGUAACUCUGUAAUAGCUGUAAAUAACAAAAGGCUUUGGAAUAUUUCUGUAAGUGAAUCUUAAAGCCACAAAUGUUAAUAUGGCCAGCUGCUCCUCCAUAUCCGUGUUUUGAAUGACCCUCCCAUAGUAUGCGGCAGACAGAUCAGGAAGCAGAGCAGCAGUGACUUGAGCAGAGAUGAAAGGGGGACGGUCUUUUGAAUAGCAGGUUUCAUUUUAAAGUCAUGGUGAUGGCUCUUUCCACAAGGCUCAAGUUAUUCACAGUUACUGUUGAUGUGAACUCUGUUACGACCGUAGUACAGUGAGUCUCUUGGAGCGUUUAUAUGGUGACAAAGGCCGGCUCCGUUGCUUGGGGGUCCUACUUUGGAACCCUGUCUGCAAAAGUUGUUGGAUUCUAGCAGCGCUGACGCUGUAAGAACGGACACUGCAUUUGACACUGAACUGAGGCGGAUUGUAUCUUUGUGAAACGGCAGCUGCUCAAACGAUGAACAGUAAAACUGUGAAAUGCUGUAUGUCCUUUCCAACUCCUCCAUUGUCAUGUUGUAUUUUAAUUCAUGCCUAAUAGUUCCAGAAUCUUUUUGAGAAUUCAGUGGCUGUGAGGUUCUUCUGAUGAAUACUACUGACAGUAUCUACUGUGUUACAUGAAGCACAGAUACAUCAAGUGUGAUAAAUCGUGAGUUAACUGCGGCUGUUGUGCAAUUAAUCCCGGUCAAAAACGUUAUUCUAUUGACAGAAUUUAGCAUUUUCUCAAUAAGAAAUUCUGUCAAGUGAUGAACGAACAAAAUCUUUCAGAAGCAGACUGUUGUGAAAUCUGGUUGAGUCUCCCUGCGCUCCAUUGUUGUCAGACACAGGCUGAUAUGGGCCAGUACCAGCCCGUCUUACAGAGCUCUCUGUGUCUUGUGCAGCCGUAUGGAUGCUGCCAGAACAAUGAGGGUUGUUUGUGUCUAAAACAGCUCUUUAGUAUCGGCCCUCAGUUCACUUUUUCCCCCCUCUCUUUAUCAAUGUGGGCUAAUAGUACAAGGUAUGUGAAGAGUUUACCGUGUGGAUGAAGUCUUGGCGAGCCACCAUGAAGCUCGGUGGAGAUGAGAGACGAGUCGACAACAGGACCAUCUAUGUUGGCCAUCGGCAGUCCUCUGCCGCCGAAGCUUUCAUCCCACCCAAAUUUUGUGACAACAGGAUUGUGUCCUCGAAGUACACGGUGUGGAACUUUCUGCCAAAGAACUUGUUUGAACAGUUCAGACGAAUUGCAAAUUUCUACUUCCUCAUCAUCUUCCUAGUGCAGGUGAUUGUAGACACUCCCACCAGCCCUGUCACUAGUGGCCUGCCUUUAUUUUUUGUCAUCACAGUUACAGCUAUCAAGCAGGGCUAUGAGGACUGGCUUCGGCACAAGGCUGACAAUGAGGUCAAUAAGUAUCCAGUAACGGUACUCGAAGACGGUCGAAGGAUACGGAAAGAGAGUGAGAAAAUUAAGGUGGGAGAUGUUGUGGAAGUGGAAGAAGAUGAGACCUUUCCCUGUGAUUUAAUACUCCUCAAGUCCAGCCGAGAUGACGAGACGUGUUUUGUUACGACUGCAAGUCUGGAUGGAGAGUCCAACCAUAAGACACAUUACACUGUACCAGACACAGAGAAGGAUCUGGAUUCUCUCAACGCCACUAUCGAGUGCGAACAGCCACAGCCUGACCUUUACAAGUUUGUCGGUCGCAUGCACAUCUACAGAAACAAUCAGGAGCCUACUGUAAGGUCUUUGGGCCCGGAGAAUCUGCUGCUGAAAGGAGCCACUUUGAAGAACACUCUGAAGAUAUCUGGUGUCGCAGUUUACACUGGCAUGGAGACGAAAAUGGCUCUCAACUAUCAGGGCAAGUCGCAGAAACGCUCUGCUGUGGAAAAGUCCAUCAAUGCCUUCCUUUUGGUUUACCUUUGUAUACUGGUGAGCAAGGCCCUUGUCUGCACGACCCUCAAAUAUGUGUGGCAAAGCAAGCCUGGACAAGACGAGCCGUGGUACAAUGAGAAAACACAGCGGGAGAGAGACACCAAUCUGUACCUUAAGAUGUUCACCGACUUCUUGUCCUUCAUGGUGCUCUUCAACUUCAUCAUCCCGGUGUCCAUGUACGUGACGGUUGAGAUGCAGAAGUUUUUGGGAUCGUUUUUCAUCACCUGGGACAAGGAUUUCUUUGACCCGGAGAUCCAGGAGGGAGCACUGGUCAACACCUCAGAUCUAAAUGAGGAACUGGGGCAGGUGGAAUACGUGUUCACAGAUAAAACAGGUACCCUCACUCAGAAUAACAUGGAGUUCAUCGAGUGCUGCAUCGAUGGGUUCCAGUACAAGCACAAGGACUCCAGCACUGAGAUGGAUGGCUUUUGUGUCACGGACGGACCCAUGAGCAAGCAGCAGAAGGCUGGCAGGGAGCGGGAGGAGCUGUUUCUGCGCGCGCUCUGUCUGUGUCACACGGUCCAGGUGAAGGAGCCGACGGAGCAGGACCAAAACGAUGGGUUCUCGGACCAGAUCGACGGUUUGGGGGUGGACGGGGAGACGCUGCAUCCGAGCCGAGAGGACAGAGGCUUUAUCGCCUCGUCGCCUGAUGAGGUUGCUUUAGUGAAGGGUGCCAUGAGGUAUGGCUUCACAUUUCUGGGUCUUGAAAGCAAAACCAUGAAAGUGAUGAACCGGAACAAGGACAUUGAAAUGUAUGACCUGCUUCACGUUUUAAACUUCGACCCCGUCAGAAGAAGAAUGAGUGUGAUUGUACGAUCAAAAUCAGGUGAUACAAUCCUUUUCUGUAAAGGAGCAGACUCGUCCAUCUUUCCUCGAGUUAAACAAGAAGAAGUGGAAAGAAUACGUUUGCAUGUGGAGCGGAAUGCUACAGAGGGCUACAGAACCCUGUGUGUGGCGUUCAAGCUGCUGAACAAAGAGGAGUAUCUCCAAGUAGAUGCUGGAUUGAGGGAAGCAAGGCUGGCUCUGCACGAGAGAGAGGAGAAGCUCAUGGCGGUGUACAACCAGGUGGAGACGGGAAUGAGUCUCAUCGGAGCUACUGCUGUGGAAGAUCGACUUCAAGAGGAGGCGGCUGAGACCAUGGAGGCUCUUCAGGGGGCUGGCAUUAAGGUCUGGGUCCUGACAGGGGACAAGAUGGAGACAGCAAAGUCAACGUGUUACGCGUGUAGGCUGUUUCAGAGGAGCACAGAGUUGUUAGAGUUGACUGUAAGAACUCUUGAAGAUGGAGGGAAGAGGCGUGAAGAGCGACUGCACGAGCUUUUGCUCGAGUACCACAAGAAAGCAGUGCAGGAUGCCCCGCCCUAUAAGGCUGCAGUCACCAGGAGCUGGUCUUCUGCCAGUCAGGACUACGGUUUUAUAAUCGACGGUGCCACUCUGUCAAUGGUGCUCAAUGCCUCCGAGUCCAGCUCCAGUCUCUACAAGACACUCUUCCUGCAGAUCUGUCAGAACUGCACCGCGGUCCUCUGCUGUCGGAUGGCUCCUCUUCAGAAGGCUCAGAUUGUAAAAAUGGUGAAGAACUCCAAAGGAAACCCGAUCACUCUCUCCAUUGGUGAUGGGGCAAAUGACGUGAGCAUGAUUCUGGAAGCUCAUGUUGGAAUUGGGAUCAAGGGCAAAGAGGGGCGGCAGGCAGUCCGCAACAGUGAUUACGCCAUCCCCAAAUUAAAGCACCUUAAAAAGCUUUUGCUGGCUCAUGGGCACCUCUACUACGUCCGCAUCGCUCACCUGGUGCAAUAUUUCUUUUACAAGAACCUCUGCUUCAUCUUACCUCAGUUUUUGUACCAGUUCUUUUGUGGCUACUCCCAGCAGCCCCUGUAUGACGCCGCCUAUCUGACGAUGUACAACAUCUGCUUCACCUCUAUGCCCAUCCUGGCUUAUAGCCUCUUUGAACAGCACAUCUGCAUCGAGGCUUUGUUGGACAAUGCUGCCUUCUACAGAAACAUUGCCAAAAAUAACAUGUUGCGAUGGCGACCGUUCCUCUAUUGGACCCUGCUGGGAAUCUUCCACGGCUUGCUGUUCUUCUUCGGUGUGCGAUUACUGUUCAGUAACCCGGCACUGCAGGAUAAUGGCCAGGUGUUUGGGAAUUGGUCGUACGGAACAAUUGUCUUCACCGUGCUUGUCAUCACAGUCACACUGAAGCUUGCUUUGGACACUCGACACUGGACGUGGAUCAACCACUUUGUCAUCUGGGGCUCGCUUGCCUUCUAUGUGUUCUUCAGCUUCUUCUGGGGUGGAAUUAUUUGGCCGUUCCUGGAACAGCAGCGUCUGUACUUUGUGUUUGCCAACAUGUUGAGUUCAGUGUCAGCCUGGCUGGUCAUCGUCCUGCUCGUCCUGCUCAGCCUACUGCCAGAGAUUCUGCUCGUGGUGUUCCGCAAGCCCAGUGGCCCACGCACUCGACAGAAGAAGCUGGUUCACAGUGCUGGGGGCCAGCAGUCACCCAGAUCUUCAGCCAGGCCCCUGCUCACAAGAACCUUUUCAGAUGCGUCCAAUACUGUCAUUUAAACAGGUACUAGCCCCCCCCUCUGGGCCAACUAAGCCAAUCAAAGCCUGGUUCCCUAAACAACCCCCGCAGAUCUGAGCCUAACACCCGGGAGUAUGAAGGCUUCCAGACCGUUUCCCAGAAGUCCCUCUGUGUGUGUGUGUUUCUGUGUCAUGCUGGCGGAGCUUGGCUGGCUGAAGGGAUGCUCAUUGAUCAGUGAGACUAUCAAGAGGCAGUCACAAACCCCACACGUGCUCCUCUCAGCCUCCCAUCGACGCCUGUGCCAUCGCCCUCUGCAUGAGCUUCCACAUCUGUGCCAGAGUGUCACGCUGGACGUUUGACUCGUCCAACUUUCAGAAACCAUAGUGAUGAUCUGUGAUUGUUAUUUCUGCAGCAUCUGUGGACUCAUUUGCUGUUUGCAGUCGUUCUGUUUGUGGUUUUGUUUAUUUCAUAUGGGUGGAAUGAUGAACUAACUACAGUCAGUAUGUGACAGGUUAAGCACUACAACAUAAAGAAGAGGGAACCAUUUCUGUCUGUUUGUGCUGAUGAUAAGUAAACUAGUACUAGUAAUGGUAAAUACUGUGCAUCAGCCAUAAUAUUCCCUCAAAUCUGACCAUAUUUCUAUGCAUAAUAAAGGCCAUCUAAUCUAAAUUUAAACUAAACUACUCUUAAAUUAUGAAUAUUUUUUAUUUCUAGUGUUAUAUAAACUGUAUAAAUAUGGUAAAAGAAUAUAUUCAUGUCCAAUCUUGUCUAAAUAUAUAUUAAUUCUAGAUUCAAAACACAAAUAAAAAUGCUUUGAAGUUGUAAAAAAGUCAUUUUUUUAAACAAAUACAAUUGCAUUACAAAUAGCUAAAAUUGAAAACUGGACUAUUUUUGCUAAAUCAGUGGGGUUUUUUUUAUACGUAUUUUUAAAUGUAAUUUUUUCACAACUGAGGUCUCCGUGUGGGCGGGCCCUGUGCUGCUUGAGCACUGGGGAGAACCCAGAGAAGUUUCUCUCAUGUUCAGUUUACUUGGUGCUGAUUCACUCGUCAGUUUCCUGUGGCGUGUGACUCGAUAAUGUCCCAGCUACUUAGGGCAACAGGCACGGUAAGUGGCCUGUCGCUCUCGUCAGUGUUAUAAAUACAGUUAAACAUCAAAGUUUUCACUAUUGUGUGCAAAUCUGCGGUUCAUCUUUUGUUUGAUGGGCUCAUCCUUCUCUGCAAACUACUGGUUUAUGCACUAGCAUUUUUGUUUUUGCUCUAACGCUCCUUGUUGAAGUGUUACUAAUUUUGGUUCAGGGUUUAUCAGGUUUUGUCACCAAGGGGAACCUUCAUGAUUAUAUCUGCACUGUUGUGUUGGCAGCUCAUCACUACAUUACUGUAAAAUUGGCAUCACAGGAGAAAAAAGGAAGUUGUGUUAAGUUAAACUUCAACCUCCUGGAAUGAAAGAUCUUGAGGUUCCCAACGAAUACAAGUGCAGAUAUGAGGGAAGUUGAGGUCCCCGGUUGAUUUCAGACCCAUAACAUUUCUUCUACUCUUCACUAGUUUUCGGAUUGUGAGAUCAUCCAAACCUCCAGAUCGCCACCGUGACCCCGCUCUCUUACAAGCAUCUCCUGGAGCGCAGCUGAGGAUCUCCCAACAACGUUGGACGUUUCAUUCAGGUUCUCCCCUUCACCCCCGCCAUCAGGUCAGGUCCAAAACUAGGAGCAAAAGUUGAAAAUGCGAGCGGCGGAUGGGAUGAACCACUCCGUCCUUCCCUGCCCGUGCGCAUGUCUGCAGAGCUGUGCCCUGCAAUAUUUUUAUAUCCACUUCAAUGCCAGGCAUGCGUUCUUCCUCCCUUUUUUAUUUUUUAUAAAAUACUUCUAGUUACGAAAGAAUGCGUACACGGCUGCCUUGUCUCAACCCUCCGUCAGCUGCUGUGUUUUAACAAGCAGUUGCUAUUUUUACUCCCAAGAAUGACUAGCACUGCAUGAGAGACGGUUGCAAAAAAUGACCACUCCACUCAUGAACUGUCCUCUAUUACGGUCACACGACGUUACAUUUAAAGAGUUCCGUUUGCCAUGUUAUGCUUUAGCUUCAACCCUCUUCGCCAAAGGUUUCAGACCCACUUUGAAAUUGAGAUGAUAAAGUCUGGAUUUUUAUCUGAUUGCUCAAGAAGUGCUCAACUUAAGAAAGCAUUCCUGGACUGUGGUAUUUCUGAUGUUUCAGAAGACCUACUUCAGAAAUUCUAGUCAGCCUUGAUGGGCUUUAAAGCUCACUUGACACUUUUCAGUACGACUGUCAAAAGUACGACUGUCAAGACUGCUUCACCAACUGCUCCACCAACUGCUCCCCCCCAAAAAAAUCUUCAUUGUAAAAAAAAAAAAUAAUAUAUGUGUGUUCUUUAUCAACAUGUAUGGUGUUUCACCCUCCAAAAAAGGUUUGUUCAGCAGAUGGACAUUCAGGACAAAGUGUGACCUAAACUGUGGAAACCCAGCGAUAAUUUAAAAAAAAAAAAGAUGAUUAGAAAUUAAUAUAUUGUCGCACUGUAAAUACUUUAAGAGAUUUAUGUCAGAAUCUGCUUGAAGCCAAAAAGAAGUGAGUGAUGCCGUCCACUGAAGUGUGACCUGAUGUUGGUUUGUUUGCGUCUGUGAAGUGGUUUGUGCCAGAAAAGCCUGCGAGAUAACAACCAGGAUUACUUGAAACCUCUCCAUGUAAAGACGAAAAGUCACCACACCAGUGUGUCCUCACCGCUGCACAUUUGGAACUCCCAAUCACCAGGAGCAGUUUUAAUGCUUCGCCUGGCCUCGUUCUGUCGAGCUUCAUACAUUCCAGCUAAACCAUGCAGCAGACCUUUCACCCUCUGUUAUAUGACGCUGUUGUUUGACGUAUUUAUUCUACCAGAUCCUUUAACUCACAAAUGUUUUAUAUUUUGUUACACAUAUCUUUUAUUAUUGUGAGGUGGGCGUGCUUGGUGACAGUCUGUGCCGAUCGAUCUGUGUCCGAGGGAGGCAGCCCCCCACCACAUCACUCCUUAUCGUCUGUUGAAAGCCUUUCAAAUCAUUUCUUUAAUGUCAAGUGGAGAUGCAAGUACAGUUAGCGACUGAGCAGUGCAGCCACACAUCUGUGCCGAUAAGAAAGGGCCGACUGGUGAGUAAUUUAUCGGUUUAAAACUGAAAUAUUAAGCUCAGGAGAAGCGAGAGUAGCUACUUUACUCUCCUCCUUCUGAGAUCACAGUGAAGCAACAUGGUCGUCAUAUUGUUUCAUUCCAUCAGCAGUUUUUUCCAGUGAAAUUACUCACCACUCUGAACCCAAAUAACAGCACUGGCUCUCACCUUUCGUUCCUCUCUACGGCCACCAUCCAGACUGCACUGUGAGAGGCGGGGCUGCCUGCUUUUCCGACGGAUUGAAAACCUUUGGGGGGACAUCAGAUGUCCUCUUAUCAAAGUGUAUCGCCUGUCAAAACGGAAAUUAUUGAGAAUGGAUUGUAUUUUUAAUCCAAAUAUUUUCCAUCCACUUUUCUAUAAAAACUUGAAAAUGCUAUAAAAAAAAUCAGUGCGACGGCGGAGACCUUCUUCGGCAACAUCUUAAGGUGGCCUGAACCUCGCUGCAACCCCGCACCUCCCAACCACUAACUUGUAAGGUCUCCAGCUUCAAACCUCCAGCUGAAUGUAUCUGUUUGAAAUGAUUCUAUUUAAGUUCUCAAGAUUUUCUGUAAUAAAGCCGAAUGUUUCAAAGGUAAAUGACUUUGCGUCUUAUCUGAAUGACUGUGUCCCAUAGUUAUUAAAAAAAAAAAAAAAAACAUCUUCCCACACCCACGCAUCGACCCAAAAUUCACAUGUUUUGUAGUCAUCCUUACAGGGAGGUUCAUUUGGGAUUAGUGAAAAAAAAUCUUGAGUAUGUUUAUUCAUGAAGUGAUAAGGAGGGCUAGAACUCAUCUUGUGUGUUCUAACCACACAAAUAUUAAUGAUGAAGCUAAUUGUGGAAUUUCUGACUGACACACUGAAGUAAUGUUUGUGUGUGGACAAGAUGUUGGAUAGUUAAUACAAGAUUGUAUUUGGAAUUAAAGCCAGAAACCUGUAACACAAUUACUGUAAAAACAAAGACGCCAACACAUGACAGAGCUAGAAAG